CAGCGCCGCGGGAAUACAGAGGGUGCGAGCGUUAAUCGGAUUUACUGGGCGUAAAGCGUGCGUAGGCGGCUUCUUAAGUCGGAUGUGAAAUCCCUGAGCUUAACUUAGGAAUUGCAUUCGAUACUGGGAAGCUAGAGUAUGGGAGAGGAUGGUAGAAUUCCAGGUGUAGCGGUGAAAUGCGUAGAGAUCUGGAGGAAUACCGAUGGCGAAGGCAGCCAUCUGGCCUAAUACUGACGCUGAGGUACGAAAGCAUGGGGAGCAAACAGGAUUAGAUACCCCGGUAGUCCCUGUCUCUUAUACA
This 301-nucleotide ribosomal RNA is filed under the name uncultured bacterium. RNAcentral's name for it is "partial 16S ribosomal RNA". It matches the Rfam family "Bacterial small subunit ribosomal RNA", at positions 509 to 808 of the family's 1533-position model. The record is from RNAcentral.